Megalobrama amblycephala (Wuchang bream) is the source of this 1515-nucleotide long non-coding RNA. RefSeq lists it as uncharacterized. The transcript has 2 exons. NCBI's taxonomy places the organism in Eukaryota, Metazoa, Chordata, Actinopteri, Cypriniformes, Xenocyprididae. The record is from RefSeq and is a predicted model, not a curated record.
ACACGUUAGGUUGCACAGAAGAAAGCCGAUAUAUGACAUAUAGCUGAUAUAGCAGCAGAGGACUGUUAUUUUGUUGAACAAACUAAUAGUGACGUCAACCCAGGUAACACACGACGUAACAGUUACGUAAUGUAUUCAUACUUUUUGGUAAUAUCAUGACUUACUAAUUGACAACGUAACUACGACGUCACAUGCCAGUAAUUUCAUUACCUUCAGAUUACCAUCUCACAACGUCGUCAGUACGAUCUCCUAACGUUAUAAGAUUACCAAGAACGUUCCAGAUACGUCCUCUAUUCAUAAUAUAUUGGUAAUUCCAUGACUUACUAGUGUAACCCAGGUCAUUAACCUAGGUCACUAGCAUUUAUUUGCAAUUUUAUAUAACUAUUAUUGUCAUAAAAUAUAUAAAUAUAUAAAAAAAGAAAGAAGAAAAAUGCAGUAAAAUUGCUUUAUAAAUUAAAUUUAGAAAUGCUCUUGAGCCGAUUGCUCAUUGGUGAGGUGAAAAGUUAGUCCCGCCCCUUGCCGAAAGUUAGCGGACAAGCAGGCAGAACGAGAGUGAACUUGAACGAGAGAAGACGCAGUUGCACAAAUUGUGAUUAAAAUCCUUUGUUUAAUAAUCCAGCGAUAGAUUAUUAACAAGUUGAAUUUAUAUCUGUGAUUAUAUAACUUUUAGAAACUCGACUGUUUGAGAAUAGUAUUGUGUGACGACGUUUGAACCGGACAUGAUGAGACUGACGCAAUAAGAUAUAAUAUACAUCUUUUCCGGGGAGAAACAACUUUAUUUUUGUUUUCUGAUUUAUACUUCUCCUUGGCUGGGUUUUUUUUUCUUUGUGAGAAUUGUGUUCCUGAAUCCUGUCCUUGCUGAAUAUUCGCAUUCCGGUCGGGACUGGCGAGCCAUUCCAUCCUCUCGUACCUGGAAACAGAGAAAAGAGCGUGAAGUCUGCCGAACUGGUAGGAUCAAACAAAAGAGCGCGAAGUCUGCCGAACUGGUAGGAUCAAACAAAAGAGCGUGAAGCCUGCCGAACUGGUAGGAUCAAACUAUUUUUGCUUUGAUUUUUCUGUUAUUUCUCCCGAGUUUUUUCUAUCUGGAUCUUCGGUGGAUAGAAACAUUGUUUUUUCUCUCUCCUGGAUUAAAUUUCUUCUUCCACUUUUUGAUGAACAUUGCUUUAUACUCUUGAAUUUGAAAUUGAGACACUGAACUUAAACUCAACUGGACAUUUAGACUGAGUUGAAUGCAAAAACUGAAGCUCAUUGUGAAACAGAUUUCAAAAAUAUUUCAAAUCUGAACGUCUCAAAACUGAGACACUGAUUUUGAAAUUGUGUGUGAAAUUUAUUAUUUUACUGUUUUGUUUAUUUUUAUUCUGAAUCUGAACCUUGAUUUGGGUUUUUGAAUUUGUAUACCCUUUUGUUAUUUUGGGUUUUAUUAUUCAAUUCACUUGUUAUUUCAUUGCAAUUUAAAGAGAAGGAUUGAAGACAAAAAAUAAUCAAUCAAAACAAUAUACUACAUUCUCUUCCAUA